RNAcentral lists this small RNA (923 nucleotides) under Scopulariopsis flava. Its description in RNAcentral is "eukaryotic LSU rRNA". It matches the Rfam family "Eukaryotic large subunit ribosomal RNA", at positions 23 to 973 of the family's 3401-position model. The record is from RNAcentral. Lineage: Eukaryota; Fungi; Ascomycota; Sordariomycetes; Microascales; Microascaceae.
ACCCGCUGAACUUAAGCAUAUCAAUAAGCGGAGGAAAAGAAACCAACAGGGAUUGCCCCAGUAACGGCGAGUGAAGCGGCAACAGCUCAAAUUUGAAAUCUGGUCCCCUUUGGGGGCCCGAGUUGUAAUUUGAAGAGGAUGCUUUUGGCGAGGCGCCGUCCGAGUUCCCUGGAACGGGACGCCGCAGAGGGUGAGAGCCCCGUACGGUCGGACGCCGAGCCUCUGUAAAGCUCCUUCGACGAGUCGAGUAGUUUGGGAAUGCUGCUCAAAAUGGGAGGUAAACCCCUUCUAAAGCUAAAUACCGGCCAGAGACCGAUAGCGCACAAGUAGAGUGAUCGAAAGAUGAAAAGCACUUUGAAAAGAGAGUUAAAAAGCACGUGAAAUUGUUAAAAGGGAAGCGCUUGCGACCAGACUUGCGCCCGUCGGAUCAACCGUCGCUUGCGGCGGCGCACUCCGGCGGGCUCAGGCCAGCAUCAGUUCGCUCGGGGGGAGAAAGGCGGCGGGAAUGUGGCUCUUCGGAGUGUUAUAGCCCGCCGUGUAAUACCCUCGGGUGGACUGAGGACCGCGCGUAUGCAAGGAUGCUGGCGUAAUGGUCGUCAGCGACCCGUCUUGAAACACGGACCAAGGAGUCGUCCUAAUAUGCGAGUGUACGGGUGUCAAACCCCUGCGCGUAAUGAAAGUGAACGGAGGUGAGAGCUUCGGCGCAUCAUCGACCGAUCCUGAUGUUCUCGGAUGGAUUUGAGUAAGAGCAUAUUGGGCCGGACCCGAAAGAAGGUGAACUAUGCCUGUGUAGGGUAAAGCCAGAGGAAACUCUGGUGGAGGCUCGCAGCGGUUCUGACGUGCAAAUCGAUCGUCAAACAUGGGCAUGGGGGCGAAAGACUAAUCGAACCUUCUAGUAGCUGGUUUYCCGCCGAAGUUUCUSC